This 69-nucleotide transfer RNA is filed under the name Guillardia theta. RNAcentral describes it as "transfer RNA-Arg (CCU)". It matches the Rfam family "tRNA". Rfam says of the family: Transfer RNA (tRNA) molecules are approximately 80 nucleotides in length. Their secondary structure includes four short double-helical elements and three loops (D, anti-codon, and T loops). Lineage: Eukaryota; Cryptophyceae; Pyrenomonadales; Geminigeraceae. The record is from RNAcentral.
GUCCUUGUAGCUCAACGGAUAGAGCGUCUGUCUCCUAUAAGGUUGUGGGUUCGAAUCCCACUAAGGAUA